Molecule: ribosomal RNA, 495 nt
Filed under: uncultured bacterium
Lineage: Bacteria
Description: bacterial SSU rRNA
Rfam family: Bacterial small subunit ribosomal RNA
Source: RNAcentral
GGACGAACGCUGGCGGCGUGCCUAACACAUGCAAGUCGAGCGGAGAUGAUGUGAGGAAGUUUUCGGAUGGAAUCACAUUAUUUAGCGGCGGACGGGUGAGUAACGCGUGAGCGACCAACCUUGCACAGGGGGAUAACGGACCGAAAGGUUCACUAAUACCGCAUGAGACCACGGUGUUGCAUGACACAGGGGUCAAAGGAGUAAUCCGGUGCAAGACGGGCUCGCGUCCGAUUAGGUAGUUGGAGGGGUAACGGCCCACCAAGCCUAUGAUCGGUAGCCGACCUGAGAGGGUGAUCGGCCACAUUGGAACUGAGACACGGUCCAGACUCCUACGGGAGGCAGCAGUGGGGAAUAUUGGGCAAUGGGCGCAAAGCCUGACCCAGCAACGCCGCGUGAGUGAAGAAGGCCUUUGGGUUGUAAAACUCUGUUCUAUGGGAAGAAGGAAGUGACGGUACCAUAGGAGAAAGCUCCGGCUAACUACGUGCCAGCCGCCGC